RNAcentral lists this ribosomal RNA (662 nucleotides) under Weissella confusa. RNAcentral's name for it is "bacterial SSU rRNA". It matches the Rfam family "Bacterial small subunit ribosomal RNA", at positions 58 to 667 of the family's 1533-position model. Lineage: Bacteria; Bacillati; Bacillota; Bacilli; Lactobacillales; Lactobacillaceae. The record is from RNAcentral.
CAAGUCGAACGCUGUGUGAAGCAUUCAACUGAUUUGAAGAGCUUGCUCAGAUAUGACGAUGGACAUUGCAAAGAGUGGCGAACGGGUGAGUAACACGUGGGAAACCUACCUCUUAGCAGGGGAUAACAUUUGGAAACAGAUGCUAAUACCGUAUAACAAUGACAACCGCAUGGUUGUUAUUUAAAAGAUGGUUCUGCUAUCACUAAGAGAUGGUCCCGCGGUGCAUUAGCUAGUUGGUAAGGUAAUGGCUUACCAAGGCGAUGAUGCAUAGCCGAGUUGAGAGACUGAUCGGCCACAAUGGGACUGAGACACGGCCCAUACUCCUACGGGAGGCAGCAGUAGGGAAUCUUCCACAAUGGGCGAAAGCCUGAUGGAGCAACGCCGCGUGUGUGAUGAAGGGUUUCGGCUCGUAAAACACUGUUGUAAGAGAAGAAUGACAUUGAGAGUAACUGUUCAAUGUGUGACGGUAUCUUACCAGAAAGGAACGGCUAAAUACGUGCCAGCAGCCGCGGUAAUACGUAUGUUCCAAGCGUUAUCCGGAUUUAUUGGGCGUAAAGCGAGCGCAGACGGUUAUUUAAGUCUGAAGUGAAAGCCCUCAGCUCAACUGAGGAAUUGCUUUGGAAAACUGGAUGACUUGAGUUGCAGUAGAGGAAAAGUGGAAC